AAGAGCCUAGUAAACACCCAUUACGUGGCUUUGUCGUAGCCAAAUCACAACAUUUGUGGCUCUUA
This 65-nucleotide transfer RNA is filed under the name Nerodia sipedon. RNAcentral's name for it is "tRNA-Asp". Lineage: Eukaryota; Metazoa; Chordata; Lepidosauria; Squamata; Natricidae. The record is from RNAcentral.